CAUUUUUUAUUAAUCAUUCGACGACGACUUCGCGUCUCCACCCACCACCGGCUGACCCCUGGCCCAAAAACCAACCGAACUUUACCCACCCGUUCAACCACUGGACGAAUCUUUCUCUGUUUCGUAUCGUAAAAGCUACGUUUUCAAUCCUAAAAAAUCUAGGGCUUUCACAUCCAUGACGGAACCAUCCUCUUCACCUUCUCCUGACUCUCGUCGGUCUAAGCUUGACGAUAUGGAUAUUCACCUACCGGUGGCUGAAGAUCCUUCGUCUUCAAUCUGGGACUGGGGAGAUCUACUGGACUUCACCGUAGACGAUCAAUUCCCAAUAUCUUUCGAUUCUGUCGACACCGCAAGUACUAUCGUUUCGCAAGUCGAUCCUAUUGAGGCAACUCCAGUUCCAGAUCGGGUUAGGAAGCGGGACCCGAGGUUGACCUGCUCCAAUUUUCGGGCAGGCAGGGUCCCCUGCGAGUGCCCGGAGCUCGACGAGAAGUUAGAGGAAGAGGGUAUGCCGGGGAAGAAGCGGGUCCGAACGACUAGGUCCAGUACUGGUGUUACUCGGUGUCAGGUGCCUGGCUGCGAGGCUGAUAUUAGCGAGCUUAAGGGGUAUCAUAAGAGGCACAGGGUUUGUUUACGAUGCGCGAAUGCUAGUACUGUUGUACUUGAUGGAGAGAACAAGAGAUACUGUCAACAGUGUGGCAAGUUUCACUUGCUGUCAGAUUUUGACGAAGGUAAACGGAGUUGUAGGAGAAAAUUAGAGCGUCACAACAAUAGACGACGAAGACAGCCCCAUGAUUCCAAGGGAGCGGUAGACAAGGAACCUCAAGGGGAGUUGCUUAGUGAAGAUACUGCUUGUGAUGGUGAAGCUGAAAAAGACUGUCAGAUAGUUGAGAAAGAAGCAUUGGUUGAAUCUGAAGAUGGAAAAGUUUCCGGCCUUCACUCGGCUCCCAAUUCCCAAAAUCUCAAUAGCGAUAGUGGUGUAUCUGUCGGAACCCCAAAGGAUAGCGGAAAAGACGAUUCCAGAUUUGCGCUUUCUCCUUUCAAUUGUGAGAAUAAGAGUUUUUACUCAUCUGCGUGCCCAACAGGUCGGAUCUCAUUCAAGCUUUACGAUUGGAAUCCAGCAGAAUUCCCUAGAAGGCUUCGACACCAAAUAUUCGAAUGGUUGGCCAGUAUGCCAGUUGAGUUGGAGGGAUAUAUUCGCCCUGGUUGUACCAUCUUGACUGCAUUUCUUACAAUGCCAACAUUUAUGUGGGCAAAGUUAUUGGAAGACCCUGUGUCAUACUUGCAUGAUUUUGUUAUCGUUCCUGGAAAAAUGCUGUCCAAGAGGAGCCCAAUGCUAAUUUAUCUGAACAACAUGAUCUUCCAUGUUAUGAAGGAUGGAAAUUCAGUAACAAAAGUAAACAUGGAACGGCGUGCCCCAAGACUGCACUAUGUUCAUCCAACAUGCUUUGAGGCUGGGAAGCCCAUAGAGUUUGUUGCUUGUGGAAGUAAUCUGUUGCAACCCAAAUUCAGGCUUCUGGUAUCAUUUGCUGGGAAAUAUCUUGCAUAUGAUUACUGCAUAGUAUUACCACAUGAUCGCACUGAAGGAUGUUCCAGCCUUGACCAUCAGUUGUGCAAGAUAUUUAUUCCUCAUGUUGAACCGAAUCUCUUUGGUCCUGCAUUUAUUGAGGUUGAAAAUGAGAGGGGAUUAUCAAACUUCAUUCCUGUACUUGUUGGGAAUGGAGAAAUUUGUUCUGAAAUGAAAAUAAUUCAGCAGAGGUUUGCUUCAUCUCAUCUGUCAAGCGGUUCACAGUGUGAGUUUUCUGCACAUAGACAAAUGGCUUUUUCAGAAUUAGUUGUGGAUAUAGGAUGGUUAUUAAAGAAGCCUUCGUCAGAAAGCUUUCACCAAAUCACGAGGUCUUCACAGAUUCAAAGGCUCAAUUCUUUGUUGAAUUUUUUGGUACACCAUGAAUCAACUGCCACAUUGGAUAAAAUUUUACAAAAUCUGAAAAUCAUAUUGGAUGAAAUGGAGAAAAACAGGGUAGCUUAUGGCAUUAGUGAUUCUGAAAUGUUUUUAUUACAGAAAUAUAUGGAUAGUGCCAGUGAUAUUCUUCUUCAAAAGGUUAAGAAGAGUGAUGAUUUAGCUAUCCACUGGGAAUAUACUGUGGACGAAAGUGAUGUUAGAAGAUGUUAUGAAAGUAGCAUGCCAUCAGUUGCUGCCAUUUUCACCAGUGAGGAUCUUGAAAGAAGCUCAAAUGGUAAGUUGGGAGUGAUUUCAAACUUAUAUGCUGUUGUUAGAAGUGACAAGGUUCCACUUUUGAGUAAAGAGGUUGUUAUGGAUGUGAGGCUCAGCAAAGAAUGUCCAAACAAGUCAUCUAGUCUCUGUUUUUCUAACAGAGUCCUGAAGUCGCGCCCCACAGUAUUUUUAAUUGCCACUUUUGCACUUUGUUUGGGAGUAUGUGCCAUCCUCUUCCACCCUAACCAGGUGAGCAAAUUUGCAAUAUCUAUACGCAGAUGUUUGACAGAGAGAUUUUAGAUGCUAAAGCUAGUUAAAUUGAAUCACCGAUUGGUUUGAAUGCGGUUCAGUUUAAGGAGCCUGGCAGGAGGAAAUCAGAAGGAUACUACUAUUCGGCUAUCAAGGACUCUGUUUCAUAUCAAGGUAAAUUACAUCAACUUGACAGCGUUGUGUUUUAAGAAGAAGAUUAAAAUUCCAAUUGUAGAGUUCCUGAAAGCUUUAUGGGAGGGCCAGUGAAUCGGUGCUCCAGUUCAGGGACACCAUUGAAUAGAUUGAAACAGAGGAUUGGUAGGAGCCCCAUCUGAUCUGUGCAUAUCAUAUGAUUUUGUAGAUGGGAAGCGACAGGAUUUUCUCCGUCUUGUUUCUGUAUAGAAUUUCUAUACAGUUGAUAGUCGAGGUUUUCGGAGGAUGCCUUUGAACUUCACACAACGAUUUCUGAUGACGAAAGAAACUGGCAUAAGAAAAUCUUCAACUCAUUCAUGAAAAUUUUAGCUAUUGCUUUUAGAUUGUGGUGUUGUUUAAUAAAAAAAAAAAAUUUGAGUUUUUA
Hevea brasiliensis (rubber tree) is the source of this 3038-nucleotide RNA transcript. It is a transcript of the gene named squamosa promoter-binding-like protein 7, with no coding region annotated. Lineage: Eukaryota; Viridiplantae; Streptophyta; Magnoliopsida; Malpighiales; Euphorbiaceae. The record is from RefSeq and is a predicted model, not a curated record. The transcript has 11 exons.